RNA transcript from Phyllostomus hastatus (greater spear-nosed bat), 3674 nucleotides. It is a transcript of the gene named UDP-GlcNAc:betaGal beta-1,3-N-acetylglucosaminyltransferase like 1, with no coding region annotated. The record is from RefSeq and is a predicted model, not a curated record. Lineage: Eukaryota; Metazoa; Chordata; Mammalia; Chiroptera; Phyllostomidae. The transcript has 13 exons.
UAUUAGGGAGAACGCAGUGGAAAGCAAAUUUCUCGCAGCAGAAGCACAGGAAGCCAGACGCAAGCAGCCAAGCCCACCUAUGACACCCAAUGGGGUGGGGGGCAGACACACCACCCCAGCCUCUUCCCACUGAUUCCUGGGGCCCGGGCUCUGAAGCCACCCGCUGUGUCCUGGUAGCUACAAUGUGACUUUUCGCCAAGUCAUUUAAAAUGAAGCUAUUCCUGACGCACCACGCCCUGGAGAACAUGAGUCCUUGGAAAAGAACUCUCAGAUAGCUCGUGUCCCUCUGUAGAUUAAGGUUGCGUUUUUACUCCUCUGGCCUAAGAGUUUCAGCUGGAAACAACAGGCUUUGCAAACAGUGAUGCAGUUUAAGGGAAAAUUACACUUGAAGAGUUGCCUGAAACCGAAGCGUGGCUUUGUCGCAAUCGUUAGUUUGUAGAAUGAUUUGCACUUAAUCUUCGUCGGGAGCCGUGCAGGAUUUGUCCUGGCAGCGAUGGCCGUGAACUUGCUCCUCAGUUCGGAUGAGCUGGGACGAACCCCGAGUGCGUGCUGGCACCACAGCGCUCGUCACAGCAGGUCCCAUUGUGUCACUCCCGUGGGCCCUGGCACUGGACCACCUGGCUCCCGCCCCGGAGCCCCGUCCGCCGCGGGAGGAGGGGGAGAGCAACCAACUUCCUGGCACGAGGCCUCCGGGACCAAUGGCAACCCCGGGGCGCAGGGCCGCGGGCGGGUCACGGGCGUCGGGGCUUGCUGAGCGGGGAGGGAAGGGGUUUCAGCCGCCAGCACUGCGCCGGCGCGGCGCAGGGCGCCCUCCCGGGUCCCACCUCCCCAGAGCCCUUCCUGGGACAUCAGGUAUCCCCAGUCAGGUCCAACAGCGCAGGUGACAUGUCGCUUGCGUCCUGUACACACGCACCGUUUUCCAAAGGGUUACACGCCCCCCGCCCACGAAGGUGUGGACCCCAAGUCGGACCAUCCGCACAGCGUGGCGCCUCCCCCACCACCCUCGUGCUUUCGUGGCAUUUUACUGAGGAUUUCGGAGCCGAUGAACUCCCUCAGGUGAGGGAGGGAGGACUUCCGGGGGACGAGAGCUCCGGAGUGGACAACGGGACACCGCGGUUCACGGGGCCAGAAGCCCACGCCGCGACCGCCCCCCGGGCGCGCGGUCCCGAGUCCUCCCCCGCUCAAGGCCGCGCCUCUGCUGGUCCCGCUCGGCCAGAGCCAGCCCCGCCGGAUCGACGUCCGUCUGCGCCAAUCAGAGGCCGGCCGGCCUCGGGCCCGCCCCCGCGCACGCGCCGUGGGCGGGGCGUCCGGAAGAGCGCGACCAUGGAGACCCAAGUGUCUGUCAUCCUCCCGGUGCACGACGCCGAGCCCUGGCUGGACGAGUGCCUGCGGUCGGUGCUGCAGCAGGACUUUGAAGGCCCCAUGGAGCUCUCGGUGUUUAACGACGCCAGCAAGGACAAGUCUAUGGCGAUCGUUGAAAAGUGGAAAGUGACGCUGGAAAGUUCUGGGAUCCGUGUGGUCAUUGGAGGGCACGACUCUCCUUCGCCGCGUGGAGGACGACGUGAUGAUGCCGCCCAGAGUGAGGCUGCAGCUGGAGGCCGCCCUGCAGCACCCGGCGAGCAUCAUAGGCUGCCGAGUGAGGAGAGAGCCCCCCAACUCCACGGAACGGUACACGCGCUGGAUCAACCAGCUGACGCCCGACCAGCUUCUCACACAGGUGUUCACCUCCAACGGCCCAACUGUGAUCAUGCCCUCCUGGUUCUGCUCUCGAGCGUGGUUUUCGCACGUGGGCCCCUUCGACGAGGGCGGGCGGGGCGUGCCCGAGGACCUGCUGUUCUUCUACGAGCACCUCCGGAAGGGCGGCGGGGUCGUCCGGGUGGACCAGAGCCUCCUCCUCUACCGCUACCACCCCGGCGCGGCCACGCACGCAGUCCUCGAGACCACCAUCUGGACCCACCGCGUCCACUUCCUGGAGGAACGGGCUCUGCCCCGCUGGGCGACCUUCACCAUCUGGAACGCAGGCAGGCAGGGCCGCCGACUCUACCGCAGCCUCACGGCAGGGGCGCAGCGCAAGGUGGUCGCCUUCUGCGACGUGGACGAGAACAAGAUCAAGAAGGGCUUUUACUGCUACGAGGACUCGCUCGAAAGCCCCAAGCCCCGGGUGCCCAUCCUGCACUUCCGCGCAGCCCGGCCGCCUUUCGUCAUCUGCGUGAAGCUGGACCUGACAGGGGGCGCGUUCGAGGACAACCUGAGGUCGCUGCACCUGCAGGAGGGCCGGGACUUCCUCCACUUCAGCUGACAGACCCGCAGCAGCCGUGGCGUCGAGCAGCCCGAGUCGUGGGGGCCCAGGGAUUCCCGCCGACCUGUCACGCAGACUCAGGUGGGCUCCGGAACCACGGCUGCACAAGGUGUUCGCAGCCACUGGGCCCCCGGUGUGAGCGACUGGUGGCCAGUGGGGCCCGAGGGUGGGCAGCGGCAGCUGGACACUGUCCACUGGCCAGCAGAUCAACUCUGUGUUCCGUGGAUCACACAGUGGGACCAGCGCCGGCAGGCCCUCCCGUCCCCACGGUCUCUUCUGGGGGCUCCUGUUACACGGGGGAUCCUGUUCCUUCUCGAGGGCUGCCUGCUUGGUGUCCUGCAGCCCAGGUCCAGACGCUGCUCAGCAGGCACGGCCGCCCCACCCCCACCGUGCCCUGUGUCCUGUCCCUGGUGCCCAGCAGCGUGGGGCCAUGUGUGCCCACCUCGCACCAGCAUGGCCUCUGCCAGUCGAGGGGUCCCCAGCAAGUCCCGUCUGAAGUGGAAAGCUCCCUGUUUGACACCUGCGUGAGGGACGCACGCUGGAGACUUGAGUGGGCGCUGGUCUGCCCAGGCCCAGCCCCACACACCCGGGGUAAGGGCUUCCUCUGCCAGGGGCUCGAGGCGAUCUGCCACCAGUGGAGCACGCGGACAGGAGACGCUUCCAGCCUGGCCCGGGCUUGGCCCCGGCGGCACACCCACCUGCGGGCAGCGGCGAGGCCCGUGGUGAGGCCACACAGCAGGGCCCACCGCCGCCUCCGCCCACAGACCUGCUGUGGCCGCACCCCACAAGGGCAGGACGCUCCUGCCCAGGCCCAGUCACAGCCACAGCCCUGGGCUGUGGGCCCGAGGACGGCGCGCCGACCCCUUCCCCUCGGCAGUGGGCGGGGGCUCCUGCACCCCACACUCGCCUGACUCAAGCGGCAAACCCUUUACACACACCAGCCGCACUGGCUCGCGGACACUCAGUGUGAGCUGGUGCCGCGCAAGUUAGAAAAGGGCAGCUUUUCCAGAGUCACACACGCAAGCUGUGGCACUUCCCAUGUCACCCGAACCCACAUCCUGGGACGCUGCAUCCGGGUCACCCCUGGCAGCAGAUGCCUGUAAGGCUGCCCCCCGACACCCGCCUUCCAGCCGGGUCUGGCGCUGCCGUCACAGGCCCUCGAGUGGCUGAAGGUGGCCUCGGGCAGGACUCAACAUACUCGGCCGUGGCCUUCUCUGGUUGUCAAAGCUGCAUGAGGGAGGCGUGUUAGGAAAAGCCGCCUCCAUGGUGACAGACUACGAGUCCCUCAGCAGAUGGACCGGCCGACGGCCAAGGCGCUGUGUCCAGGUUUCCUGUGCUCGUCCCACCUGCCUGCUCCUCCGUCGGACGGGCGCAC